AGUUGAGGCAGAGUAUGACGGAGAAAACGUUACAAGCGGCAUCGUUCAUUGACGCCGCUCAAUUUCCGUUUUUUGCUCGCCUCAUUUACAUUCG
Molecule: non-coding RNA, 94 nt
Organism: Caenorhabditis elegans
Lineage: Eukaryota; Metazoa; Nematoda; Chromadorea; Rhabditida; Rhabditidae
Source: Ensembl